CCUACGGGAGACAGCAGUGAGGAAUAUUGGUCAAUGGACGCGAGUCUGAACCAGCCAAGUAGCGUGAAGGAUGACUGCCCUAUGGGUUGUAAACUUCUUUUAUAAAGGAAUAAAGCGAGGCACGUGUGCCUUUUUGCAUGUACUUUAUGAAUAAGGAUCGGCUAACUCCGUGCCAGCAGCCGCGGUAAUACGGAGGAUCCGAGCGUUAUCCGGAUUUAUUGGGUUUAAAGGGAGCGUAGAUGGGUUGUUAAGUCAGUUGUGAAAGUUUGCGGCUCAACCGUAAAAUUGCAAUUGAUACUGGCAGUCGUGAGUACAGUUGAGGUAGGCGGAAUUCGUGGUGUAGCGGUGAAAUGCUUAGAUAUCACGAAGAACUCCGAUUGCGAAGGCAGCUUACUAAACUGCGACUGACAUUGAUGCUCGAAAGUGUGGGUAUCAAACAGGAUUAGAUACCCUAGUAGUC
Molecule: ribosomal RNA, 460 nt
Filed under: uncultured bacterium
Lineage: Bacteria
Description: partial 16S ribosomal RNA
Rfam family: Bacterial small subunit ribosomal RNA
Source: RNAcentral